UGUCUUUUUCACGCCUUAAAGCACUCGCUUGGUGUUCAGAAUCUAUGGAUGAAUUUUAUAGGAAAUUUGUCCCGCUUUAUUAGUGACAGGAAACCGACACCUUUCCCCCGGGGAUCUUAUCGAUAAUCUUUAGGGGGAGCUUGGACGUACAGUACAGUACGGACGGGGUCGGUUUAUUGGGUACAGUCAGCGCGUCAUUGGACUGCGCGAGACGACGUGUGCGCAUGCGCCAACACGGGUUCAUAGUGCAGCGAGCAGCGCGAAAGCGGUCUCAGUGGAAGCGUCGGCUGAUAUGGCGCUGUUGCCAGUGCUGGUGGUGAGGCGAGAAAUGACCCGUUUAAUGGCAACAUUACCACUCACACAGCUCAGUCAGGGGUGCCUUCUUGCAACAGACGGAAAAUGGCUUCUGUUCUUCUCUCUGUGCGCCGCUACCGAGUCUGCGAGCACGUGAGCAGUAUGGGAGCACGUGCCGAGCGGCGGGAGCGGUACGCGCUCCAUGCGGGUAGGAGGAGCAUCGUAGUUACAGCUGGUAAAAGAAAUGGAGCUGCUGCGGAAGGGAAGGUGACUAUCUUGUCACGGGCGUGUGGUUUUGGAACGGCCUGUGGGAUGGGACACAGGAAGGAGGACUGA
RNAcentral lists this long non-coding RNA (630 nucleotides) under Scleropages formosus (Asian bonytongue). Its description in RNAcentral is "lncRNA (ENSSFOG00015027440.1)". The record is from RNAcentral. Lineage: Eukaryota; Metazoa; Chordata; Actinopteri; Osteoglossiformes; Osteoglossidae.